CCCGUGAUCACCUACAGCGAACCCCCCCGGGAUCGUCUACAGACUAAGUGGUUGUGGGCGGGGCCUGGAGCCCUGCUUAAGAUAUAGUCGAUACCCACGCCUCGCGGCCUGGGAUAGCUAGUCCGUAGGUGAACCUGCGGAAGGAUCAUUACUGAGAUUUGUCCUCCGGGACGGACCUCCAACCCUAUGUUUACUGUACCAUGUUGCUUCGGCAGGCCGGCCUCACGGCUACCAGCCCCUCCUAAGGGGGCUGGCCAGUGCCUGCCAGAAGCCCCACGAAACUCGUUUUGUCAGUGUCGUCUGAGUAAAUUUUAAUAAUUAAAACUUUCAACAACGGAUCUCUUGGUUCUGGCAUCGAUGAAGAACGCAGCGAAAUGCGAUAAGUAAUGUGAAUUGCAGAAUUCAGUGAAUCAUCGAAUCUUUGAACGCACAUUGCACCCUCUGGUAUUCCGGAGGGUAUGCCUGUUCGAGCGUCAUUAAACACAUUCAAGCCUGGCUUGGUAUUGGGACGCGCCUGCCCGGCGCCCCCUAAAAUCAGUGGUCGCCGCAGCACAACUUCCAGCGUAGUUACCUUUCUCGCUGGGGAGUUGGAGCCUGUGGUCCGCCAGAAUAGUAGCUCCUUAGAGUUUGACCUCGGAUCAGGUAGGGAUACCCGCUGAACUUAAGCAUAUCAAUAAGCGGAGGAAAAGAAACCAACAGGGAUUGCCUUAGUAACGGCGAGUGAAGCGGCAACAGCUCAAAUUUGAAAUCUGGCUUCGGCCCGAGUUGUAAUUUGUAGAGGAUGCUUAGGGUGUGGUUCCGGUCUAAGUUCCUUGGAACAGGACGUCAUAGAGGGUGAGAAUCCCGUAUGUGACCGGCCACCUUCGCCCGUGUUAAGCUCCUUCGACGAGUCGAGUUGUUUGGGAAUGCAGCUCUAAAUGGGUGGUAAAUUUCAUCUAAAGCUAAAUACUGGCCAGAGACCGAUAGCGCACAAGUAGAGUGAUCGAAAGAUGAAAAGCACUUUGGAAAGAGAGUUAAAUAGUACGUGAAAUUGUUGAAAGGGAAGCGCUUGCAACCAGACUUGCGCGCAGUUGAUCAUCCGGUGUUCUCACCGGUGCACUCGGUUGCGCUCAGGCCAGCAUCAGUUCUGGUGGUUGGAUAAAGGCCCAGGGAAUGUGGCUCCUCUCGGGGAGUGUUAUAGCCCUGGGUGCAAUGCAGCCUACCGGGACUGAGGACCGCGCUUCGGCUAGGAUGCUGGCGUAAUGGUUGUAAGCGACCCGUCUUGAAACACGGACCAAGGAGUCUAACAUCUAUGCGAGUGUUUGGGUGUCAAACCCAUACGCGUAAUGAAAGUGAACGGAGGUGAGAGCCCUUAAGGGUGCAUCAUCGACCGAUCCUGAUGUCUUCGGAUGGAUUUGAGUAAGAGCAUAGCUGUUGGGACCCGAAAGAUGGUGAACUAUGCGUGAUUAGGGUGAAGCCAGAGGAAACUCUGGUGGAGGCUCGUAGGGGUUCUGACGUGCAAAUCGAUCUCAAAAAUUGCGUAUAGGGGCGAAAGACUAAUCGAACCAUCUAAACCGACUGCUGGAUGGAAUAUUACAGCGUAGUCUGGCCGCGGCCAGGCAACACUACCACUGUGCGAGUAUGCCGAGAGGCUACCUGCAGCGGGGCCCAGCGCCCCGUCCACAGACUAAACGGUAGUGGCCCCCCGGGGUUCUGAUAUAGCCGAUUCCCACUGGCAAGUG
This 1721-nucleotide ribosomal RNA is filed under the name Coccomyces proteae. RNAcentral's name for it is "eukaryotic LSU rRNA". The stretch from base 629 to 1721 matches the Rfam family "Eukaryotic large subunit ribosomal RNA", at positions 1 to 1000 of the family's 3401-position model. Lineage: Eukaryota; Fungi; Ascomycota; Leotiomycetes; Rhytismatales; Rhytismataceae. The record is from RNAcentral.